Molecule: ribosomal RNA, 380 nt
Filed under: Staphylococcus equorum UMC-CNS-924
Lineage: Bacteria; Bacillati; Bacillota; Bacilli; Caryophanales; Staphylococcaceae
Description: bacterial SSU rRNA
Rfam family: Bacterial small subunit ribosomal RNA
Source: RNAcentral
UUUAUGGAGAGUUUGAUCCUGGCUCAGGAUGAACGCUGGCGGCGUGCCUAAUACAUGCAAGUCGAGCGAACGGAUAAGGAGCUUGCUCCUUUGAAGUUAGCGGCGGACGGGUGAGUAACACGUGGGUAACCUACCUAUAAGACUGGAAUAACUUCGGGAAACCGGAGCUAAUGCCGGAUAACAUUUGGAACCGCAUGGUUCUAAAGUAAAAGAUGGUUUUGCUAUCACUUAUAGAUGGACCCGCGCCGUAUUAGCUAGUUGGUAAGGUAACGGCUUACCAAGGCAACGAUACGUAGCCGACCUGAGAGGGUGAUCGGCCACACUGGAACUGAGACACGGUCCAGACUCCUACGGGAGCAGCAGUAGGGAAUCUUCCGCAA